CUGGAGGCAGCAGUGGGGAAUUUUGCGCAAUGGGCGAAAGCCUGACGCAGCAACGCCGCGUGGAGGAUGAAGGCCUUCGGGUCGUAAACUCCUGUCGAUGGGGACGAAAGCCUAGCAAUAGGAUUGACUGUACCCGUUGAGGAAGCCACGGCUAACUCCGUGCCAGCAGCCGCGGUAAUACGGGGGUGGCAAGCGUUGUUCGGAAUUACUGGGCGUAAAGGGCGCGUAGGCGGCGAUCCAAGUCAGAUGUGAAAGCCCCGGGCUCAACUCGGGAAUUGCAUCUGAAACUGAAUUGCUUGAGUUCUGGAGGGGGUAGUGGAAUUCCCAGUGUAGCGGUGAAAUGCGUAGAUAUUGGGAGGAACACCUGCGGCGAAGGCGGCUACCUGGACAGUAACUGACGCUGAGGCGCGAAAGCUAGGGGAGCGAACAGGAUUAGAUACCCCGGU
This 446-nucleotide ribosomal RNA is filed under the name uncultured bacterium. Its description in RNAcentral is "bacterial SSU rRNA". It matches the Rfam family "Bacterial small subunit ribosomal RNA", at positions 342 to 791 of the family's 1533-position model. The record is from RNAcentral.